UACGGAGGGUGCGAGCGUUAAUCGGAAUUACUGGGCGUAAAGAGUGCGUAGGUGGUUAAUUAAGUUAUCUGUGAAAUCCCUGGGCUUAACCUGGGCAGGUCAGAUGAUACUGAUUGACUCGAGUAUGGGAGAGGGUAGUGGAAUUUCCGGUGUAGCGGUGAAAUGCGUAGAGAUCGGAAGGAACACCAGUGGCGAAGGCGGCUACCUGGCCUAAUACUGACACUGAGGCACG
This 232-nucleotide ribosomal RNA is filed under the name uncultured bacterium. RNAcentral's name for it is "partial 16S ribosomal RNA". It matches the Rfam family "Bacterial small subunit ribosomal RNA", at positions 524 to 755 of the family's 1533-position model. The record is from RNAcentral.